Molecule: non-coding RNA, 23 nt
Filed under: Arabidopsis thaliana (thale cress)
Lineage: Eukaryota; Viridiplantae; Streptophyta; Magnoliopsida; Brassicales; Brassicaceae
Source: RNAcentral
UUAUGGAUUGUCGUCAUGCAAGA